GCCGAGGUGGUAGCAGUGAGGUAGAGCGUCCGCGAGUGGUACCAAUGGAGUCGCGGAGUUGAGGCGGAGCCGAUGCGCGCGCGCGCGGAGGCCGAGGGCCUCACUAUCGGUCGCCGGAGUUGCGGCCGAGCCGCCGUGCGUGAGAGAGAGAGAUCUGACGGGUGGGGCUACCCUGUCAGUGGCUGAGAGAGAGAGAGAGCGCGCGGGCGUGCGCGGCGCGGACGCGGGCCGGAAGCAGUGGGCCGGUCUGCGGCCCAGUUUCCAAGCAGCCCACUGCGCAGUAGUCUUUUUCUUUUUCUUUUUAUGCAGUUUUUGUUUUAUAUUUGAAUUUGUGUAGUAAAUUUUGUGCUAAUCCAAAAAUUGUGAAAAUUUUUGUAUAGCUUACAUAAAAUGGAUAGAGCCUAAGAAAAAUGUUAGGUUUGAUUUUCUGGUAAUUUUCAUGUAUACAUAAAUUGCCUUUGUUUAUUAAUGAAUAAACCUUCCAUGAUUUUUAAUAGUUCAUAGGUAUAUCCAAAAAUCAUGAAAUUUAAUAUGUGAGCUUGUGUUAAUGUUAUUUAGCUCCAUGAUUAAUUUCAGCUCUGUUUGAUCAAGUAUGCUCUGUUUCUUGAUAAAGCUAUUUAAAAUGCUUAUAAAAGAAAUAGAAAUAAUUAAUCCCUUUAGGAGUUGGGUGAUAUUUUGGAUUAUUUGACAACCAUGGUUACUUAGCAUGAUAUGCUCCCUGGUUAUGGUUUAUUUUCAUGUAAAUAAUCUUUAUGGUAUAAUAGAUUCACAAUUAUUGCUUAAUAAAAAUAAUAAAGUUGGUUUAGUAGUGAUUUAUGCUUUGAUAGCUAGCUUUGUUUGUUUCUUUACCAUGAAGGUAAAGUGUACUCGAGAUAAUCAUAUUUUGUUAUAUCAUCCAAGAACAUGUAACUUGUCUUUAUCAUACCUUGAGUAUAUCAUAAUCAUGCAUAUGCACUUUUACGUAUAGAGUACGCUCCGGAAGAAUCUGAUCACCAGUGGGUUUCUUCCGAGUUUGUGGAUCCUUCGAGAGUAGUUGAGUUUCCGAACGUCCCCUCCGAUCAAGGCAAGCCCCGGACAUUAAACCCUACCCUUGUAUUUUCAUAAAGUUAUUUAUAUCACUUGAGUUAAUAUGAUGCAUUAGGUGAAUAGGAGUUGAGUGAAUCCUAUUUGCUGCAUUAUCUACCUUGAUGAUUUCCAUAUUAACCUUGGUACUUGCUUUAUGAAAAUGCUUAGUAUGCUUAGCCCUGCUUAUUAGAUAAGUUUUCAAAUGAAAGAGUUUGAAGGGUUGUUGUGGAAUACUUUUAUAGUUAAUGAUGUUCAAUUUGAGACCGGUCGGUGGACUUGCUUUAAGAAUGGAGUCUUAAAGUAGUGUCUCCAACUGAGUCGAUUAAGGACCGUACCGUUGAUUGGCCUGUUGUGAUUGAGAACUUUGAGUACAGCCCACAUGCGGUGCAACCAAAGAUGAGUUCUUUAUACAGUCACCUUGGGGUCGACUAUGCACUAAGGAAAUGGUACAUCAGGUGCCAAUAGACUUGGGUGGAUAUAUAUUUCCAACAUCCAUGAUAGUGUUAAAAGAUCCAAGUAUAGAUGUGAUCUUGGGUAUGAACUGGAUGAACCAGAGAGGUGCAGUUAUAGACACCUUAAAUAGAACUAUCAGGGUCAACUUACCUAAUAGCAAGUCUCAACUUCUUAUCCAUCUUCCUACUCUUAAGAGAGCAGUUGAGCAAGUGUGUGCUACCUCUGUUAAGGAAAUCAAGGAUAUUCCAGUGGUCUGUGAGUUUCCUGAUGUGUUUCCAGAAGAUUUACCUGGUUUGCCACCAGAUCGUGAUGUGGAGUUUGAAAUAGAGCUCAAGCCAGGGACAGCACCAAUAUCUAGAAGAGCUUAUAGAAUGCCACCAAAAGAAUUAGCAGAAUUGAAAACGCAGUUGCAAGAAUUGAUGGAUAAAGGUUUCAUUCGACCUAGUUCAUCACCAUGGGGUUGUCCGGCAAUCUUUGUGAAGAAAAAGGACCAUACCUUGAGGUUAUGUGUGGACUAUCGUCCUUUGAAUGAGGUAACAAUCAAGAAUAAGUAUCCUUUGCCCCGUAUUGAUCUUCUCUUUGAUCAACUAACCGGUGCUAAGGUAUUUUCAAAGAUAGACUUGAGAUCUGGGUAUCAUCAAAUUAAGAUCAAGCCAAAAGAUGUUCCGAAAACAGCAUUCACUACCCGAUAUGGUCUGUAUGAAUAUCUGGUCAUGUCUUUCGGUCUGACAAAUGCCCCAGCACAUUUUAUGUAUCUGAUGAAUUCAGUGUUUAUGCCAGAGUUAGAUAAAUUCGUGGUGGUAUUCAUUGAUGACAUUCUCAUCUAUUCCAAAACUAAAGAAGAACAUGAAGAGCAUCUCAGGAUAGUGUUGACUCGCCUGAGAGAACAUCAAUUAUAUGCUAAAUUUAGCAAGUGUGAAUUCUGGAUAGAUGAAGUUCAAUUUUUGGGUCAUGUCUUGUCAGCUGAAGGUGUUGCAGUAGAUCCAAGCAAAGUUCAAGAAGUUCUUGACUGGAAGUCACCAACUUCAGUACAUCAAGUUCGGAGUUUCUUAGGAUUAGCAGGGUAUUAUCGCAGGUUUAUCCCUGACUUCUCCAAGAUUUCUAAACCAAUGACAACACUGCUAAAGAAUGAUACCAAGUUUGUGUGGUCAUCCGAGUGUGAAGAAGCUUUUCGGACCUUGAAAAAGUUGUUGACCACUGCACCAGUGCUAGCUCAACCUGAUAUUGAAAAAUCUUUUGAUGUGUAUUGUGAUGCUUCAGGCAAAGGCAUUGGGUGUGUACUAAUGCAAGAAGGCAGAGUCAUUGCAUAUGCUUCACGACAACUUAAGCGUCAUGAAGAGCAUUAUCCAACCCAUGAUCUAGAGUUGGCAGCUGUAGUCCAUGCUCUGAAGAUCUGGCGACAUUAUCUAUUGGGCAAUAUUUGUCACAUAUAUACUGAUCAUAAGAGUUUGAAAUACAUCUUUACUCAGUCCGAGUUGAAUAUGCGUCAGAGAAGAUGGUUAGAACUGAUAAAAGAUUAUGAUAUUGAGGUACAUUAUCACCCAGGCAAAGCCAAUGUGGUGGCAGAUGCACUCAGUCGAAAGAGCCAUUGCAAUUGUCUGGAAGUUAAACCGAUAAACCUUACCUUAUGUUAUGAAUUUGAGAAGUUAAGUCUUGAAAUGAUUCCACAAGGAAGUCUUGCAAAUAUGACAGUUCAGUCAUCUAUCAAAGAUCAGAUUAUUUCCGCUCAGAAAGAAAAUAAGGGUAUGAGCUUUUUGAAAGAAAAGAUCCAGUCUGAGCAGAUUUCCAAGUUCAGAAUAGAUGAAGCUGGAGUAGUUUGGUUCAAGGAUCGGUUAGUAGUCCCAAAAGUUCCUGAACUCAAAAAACAAAUUCUUGAUGAAGCUCAUGCAACAAAACUUUCAAUCCAUCCAGGUAGUAAUAAGAUGUAUCAUGAUCUAAAACAAAGAUUCUGGUGGACUAAGAUGAAGCUUGAAAUUGCUAGUUAUGUGGCUAGAUGUGAUACUUGUCAAAAGGUGAAAGCAGUUCAUCUUAGGUCUGCUGGAGAACUGCAACCAUUGCCAAUUCCAUCUUGGAAAUGGGAUGACAUUAGUAUGGACUUCAUAGUGGGUCUACCCAGAACCUCGAGAGGGUUUGAUUCCAUAUGGGUCAUUGUUGAUCGUCUGACCAAAUCGGCUCAUUUCAUUCCAGUAAGAAAGGAUUAUCGAGCUUCUGACUAUGCUAAGAUAUACUUUAACAGAAUUGUGAGUCUACAUGGUGUUCCAAAGACUAUUAUAUCUGAUAGAGGGACACAAUUUGUAAAUGCUUUCUGGAAGCAUCUGCAUAAGUCCUUGGGUACCAAACUUCUGCAUAGUACAGCUUAUCAUCCACAGACUGGGGGCCAGACUGAAAGAGUCAACCAAAUCUUAGAAGAUAUGUUAAGAUCUUGUGUGCUCAGUUAUUCAGAGAAGUGGCACGAAUGUUUGCCUUUAGCAGAAUUCUCUUAUAAUAAUAGUUAUCAAGAGAGCAUUAAGAUGGCACCAUUCGAAGCUCUGUAUGGCAGAAGGUGUAGGACACCUUUGAAUUGGUCAGAACCUGGAGAACAUAGUCUCUUCGGGGUUGACUUAGUCAAAGAAACCGAAGAAAAAGUCAGGCUCAUUCGAGAGAACAUGAAGGUAGCACAGUCCAGGCAAAAGAGUUAUGCCGAUAAGAGACAUCGAUCUCUUAGCUUUGAGGUUGGUGAUUAUGUAUACCUCAAAGUGUCACCUAUGAAAGGAGUCACUCGUUUUGGAGUAAAAGGAAAAUUGGCACCUCGAUAUAUAGGUCCAUAUCAAAUCCUUGAAAGAUGUGGAAAGGUGGCAUAUCGUAUAGAUUUACCACCACAGUUGUUAUCAGUACACAAUGUGUUCCAUGUCUCUCAGUUGAAGAAAUGUCUUAGAGUGCCUGAUCAUAUCAUUCAUGUUGAAGAAAUUGAAUUAAAGCCUGAUCUAACAUAUUCAGAGUAUCCCAUCAAGAUUCUGGAUCAAAAAGAUCGAGUCACUCGUAGAAGAACUAUCAAAUACUACAAAGUGCAAUGGAAUCAACAUACCGAAGAUGAAGCUACGUGGGAAUCCGAAGAGUUUCUCUUAGAACGUUUUCCUGAGUUCUUUUCUUCUGUCUUAUCCUUGUAGUCUAUAGUAUAAUGAUCUACCCCUGUUUUUGUAAAGGUUGGUUUUGAAAGUGCUUAACAAACUUCUUUUUCCAUUAGUUAGUCUUCAAGUUAAAUCUCGGGACGAGAUUUCUUUAAGGGGGAAAGAGCUGUAACACUCUCGUGUUAAGCGAACUAAAAAUGGGACAUGUCAUCAUGAGCAUUGCAUCAAAAAUAUGUUAAGCACACACUAAUGCAUUAACCUAAAAUAAGUUUAUUUUGGAUGAAUGUGUUUAGGAAUUUAAGUGUGUUUAUUUUAUGUAUGGGUGCUUGUUUUGGAGUUUAAAAUCGUUGGGUGAAAGUUUUCCGAGAAGCUUAAAGGGGGGAAACCCUAAUUUCAAAAACUCUAGAUUUGCCCCUUUUGUGUAAUUUAAAAACUAAGCAAAAUUUGAAGUUGAGUUCAAAAGCAAAGUUGUAGAUCUUGUCAAGAUAUACAACUUUGGUGUUUUGAGUUUUUGAAGUUUCAGUACAAAAUUCAAAGUAAUUUUGAAAAUACAGAUUUCCGAAAAGUGUCCCCUUUUUCUAAAUUGAAUCUCCAAUUCAAAAUCUGUUUGGAAUUGUGAAAAUUGGUCAACAUGAAAGUUGUAGGGUUUGAAAAGUUGAACAACUUUUAUGUUGGAAGUUUUUCAAGUUGUUAUGUAAAAUCAAAAGUAAUUUUAGAAAUUCUGUUUUGCCCUAAUUCAAAAAUUUGGGAUUAAGCUUGAAUUUCAAACUGUUUGGCUCAAAUUCAUCCCUCUCCAUUUCAAAUCUGUCUUUGGUCACUAAAGAUGUUUUGUAGCAUUCAAAAUUCUGAGCAUUUGAUAUUUUGACAUAUUUUUGUCUUCUAUUCAAAAAUUCAAAGUAAUUUCAUAAUUUCAGAAAGGGUAUUUUGGGGACAAGGGGGAUAAGCUCGACCCUGUUUAUGGCGGUGUGCCGCCGAGCGUCGAUCGGCGUUUGCCGACUCGUGAACUGCCGAUUCAUCUCGUCCAAGCACGUGCUCGCGUCCGUGGCAAAGUGGAGCAGCUGCUGGCGAAGUGGAGCGCGACGUGCCAUUCUCUCCCGCGAGCACCGACCUCCUUUCCGCCACCGGAGCACCGAGGAGCAGUACCCCGUCCUCAUCCAAAUUGGCCGUGCUCGAUCCUCCUCGUAUCAAAUUGAGCCGUCCAUGAUGUUCGCCAUCUCUUUGCGAAUCCAGAACACCACCAAGCUCGUCCCAUAACCCUCUCAAUCGCAGAAACACCUCCAUUCUUUUCCAUCUCCGGCCAGAACUGCCGCCGUGGUGCUCUUACCGUGACCACGGUGUUCUCGUCGGUAUCACGUUUCCCUGGCAGCUGUUUCGAGUUCCUCUUGUGUUCUAGUAGCUCAUGCUCUCUCUCUUUUGCUUUGGGCACGAACAGAAUCGCCGGGACGAGCUCGCCGGAGCCGGAGCGCCCGCCCGAUCGCACUGUCUCCGUCGCCAACAACUUCAGCUACUUCUCCCACCGUGGUGACGUGAGCAUCGUGUUCCCUACACCACCUUGAACCUCCCUACGCCAUUCGUUUGCUCUCUACCGGGUCCUAGUGGCCGGCCGACAGUCGGCCAUGGCGACCGCCCGCUCCUAUCGUGGCCGAGGUGGUAGCAGUGAGGUAGAGCGUCCGCGAGUGGUACCAAUGGAGUCGCGGAGUUGAGGCGGAGCCGAUGCGCGCGCGCGCGGAGGCCGAGGGCCUCACUAUCGGUCGCCGGAGUUGCGGCCGAGCCGCCGUGCGUGAGAGAGAGAGAUCUGACGGGUGGGGCUACCCUGUCAGUGGCUGAGAGAGAGAGAGAGCGCGCGGGCGUGCGCGGCGCGGACGCGGGCCGGAAGCAGUGGGCCGGUCUGCGGCCCAGUUUCCAAGCAGCCCACUGCGCAGUAGUCUUUUUCUUUUUCUUUUUAUGCAGUUUUUGUUUUAUAUUUGAAUUUGUGUAGUAAAUUUUGUGCUAAUCCAAAAAUUGUGAAAAUUUUUGUAUAGCUUACAUAAAAUGGAUAGAGCCUAAGAAAAAUGUUAGGUUUGAUUUUCUGGUAAUUUUCAUGUAUACAUAAAUUGCCUUUGUUUAUUAAUGAAUAAACCUUCCAUGAUUUUUAAUAGUUCAUAGGUAUAUCCAAAAAUCAUGAAAUUUAAUAUGUGAGCUUGUGUUAAUGUUAUUUAGCUCCAUGAUUAAUUUCAGCUCUGUUUGAUCAAGUAUGCUCUGUUUCUUGAUAAAGCUAUUUAAAAUGCUUAUAAAAGAAAUAGAAAUAAUUAAUCCCUUUAGGAGUUGGGUGAUAUUUUGGAUUAUUUGACAACCAUGGUUACUUAGCAUGAUAUGCUCUCUGGUUAUGGUUUAUUUUCAUGUAAAUAAUCUUUAUGGUAUA
This 7026-nucleotide long non-coding RNA is filed under the name Sorghum bicolor (sorghum). RNAcentral describes it as "long non-coding RNA (SBIC_LNC001807)". Lineage: Eukaryota; Viridiplantae; Streptophyta; Magnoliopsida; Poales; Poaceae. The record is from RNAcentral.